RNAcentral lists this ribosomal RNA (253 nucleotides) under uncultured bacterium. RNAcentral describes it as "partial 16S ribosomal RNA". It matches the Rfam family "Bacterial small subunit ribosomal RNA", at positions 524 to 776 of the family's 1533-position model. The record is from RNAcentral.
UACGAAGGGUGCAAGCGUUACUCGGAAUUACUGGGCGUAAAGCGUGCGUAGGUGGUUUGUUAAGUCUGUUGUGAAAGCCCCGGGCUCAACCUGGGAAUGGCAGUGGAAACUAGGGGACUGGAAUCUGGCAGAGGGGGGUGGAAUGCCGCGUGUAGCAGUGAAAUGCGUAGAGAUGCGGCGGAACACCGAUGGCGAAGGCAGCACCCUGGGCUGAGAUUGACGCUCAGGCGCGAAAGCGUGGGGAGCAAACAGG